GAGCCUGGUGUUGAGGGGAGAAGGAUCCGGGGCUAGUUGGCGUCAGCCUUAUAAUCGCCAACUAUUUCUGUAUCUUCUCUCUUUUCCCUC
RNAcentral lists this microRNA precursor (90 nucleotides) under Mus pahari (shrew mouse). RNAcentral's name for it is "microRNA 8116 (MGP_PahariEiJ_G0007287.1)". The record is from RNAcentral. Lineage: Eukaryota; Metazoa; Chordata; Mammalia; Rodentia; Muridae.